RNAcentral lists this small nuclear RNA (162 nucleotides) under Erinaceus europaeus (western European hedgehog). RNAcentral describes it as "U1 spliceosomal RNA (ENSEEUG00000018075.1)". It matches the Rfam family "U1 spliceosomal RNA". Rfam says of the family: U1 is a small nuclear RNA (snRNA) component of the spliceosome (involved in pre-mRNA splicing). Lineage: Eukaryota; Metazoa; Chordata; Mammalia; Eulipotyphla; Erinaceidae. The record is from RNAcentral.
UUAAAAAAAAAUCAGGGGAGAUACCAUGAUCACGAAAGUGAGUUUCCCAGGGCGAGGCUUAUCCAUUGCACUCCGGAUGUGCUGACCCUGCGAUUUCCGCAAAUGUGGGAAACUCAACUGCAUAAUUUGGGGAGUGGGAGACUGCGUUCGCGCUCCCCCCUU